This 417-nucleotide ribosomal RNA is filed under the name Triticum aestivum (bread wheat). Its description in RNAcentral is "partial small subunit ribosomal RNA". The record is from RNAcentral. Lineage: Eukaryota; Viridiplantae; Streptophyta; Magnoliopsida; Poales; Poaceae.
AUGAAAGGAGGCAAGGCGACCUAUAUCCCCAUUGAGGCGUGGAGAGGCCUUGAAGACAUAGCGAUAGUAUGGCUAACUAAGCUUUUCAACCUCAAUUUUCCAUCAAACAAGAUGCCUGAAGAAUGGAGGCGCGGUAUAUUAGUACCAAUCUUCAAGAACAAGGGGAAUAUUCAAAGUUGUACUGGCUACCAUGGAAUUAAGCUGAUGAGCCAUACAAUGAAGCUAUGGGAGAGAGUCAUUGAGCAUCAUUUAAGAAGGAUGACAAGCAUGACCAAAAAUCAGUUUUGUCUCGGAGGUCGACAAUGGAAGCCAUUUUCUUGGUACGACAACUUAUGGAGAGAUACAGAGAGGAAAAGGACCUACAUAUGGUGUUCAUUGACUUGGAGAAGGAGGAAAAGGACCUAUGGUGUUCAUUGA